CCUACGGGUGGCAGCAGUGAGGAAUAUUGGUCAAUGGUCGGGAGACUGAACCAGCCAAGCCGCGUGAGGGAUGAAGGUACAGAGUAUCGUAAACCUCUUUUGUCAGGGGACAACGGCGGGGACUCGUCCCCGGAUGAGUGUACCUGACGAAAAAGCAUCGGCUAACUCCGUGCCAGCAGCCGCGGUAAUACGGAGGAUUCGAGCGUUAUCCGGAUUUAUUGGGUUUAAAGGGUGCGCAGGCGGUCUGUUAAGUCAGCGGUAAAAGCCCGGGGCUCAACCCCGGCCCGCCGUUGAAACUGGCAGUAUUGAGUUGGAGAGAAGUAGGCGGAAUGCGCGGUGUAGCGGUGAAAUGCAUAGAUAUCGCGCAGAACUCCGAUUGCGAAGGCAGCAUGCCGGCUCCACACUGACGCUGAGGCACGAAAGCGUGGGUAUCGAACAGGAUUAGAUACCCGGGUAGUC
RNAcentral lists this ribosomal RNA (459 nucleotides) under uncultured bacterium. Its description in RNAcentral is "partial 16S ribosomal RNA". It matches the Rfam family "Bacterial small subunit ribosomal RNA", at positions 338 to 795 of the family's 1533-position model. The record is from RNAcentral.